This 253-nucleotide ribosomal RNA is filed under the name uncultured bacterium. RNAcentral's name for it is "partial 16S ribosomal RNA". It matches the Rfam family "Bacterial small subunit ribosomal RNA", at positions 524 to 776 of the family's 1533-position model. The record is from RNAcentral.
UACGGAGGGAGCUAGCGUUGUUCGGAUAUACUGGGCGUAAAGCGCACGUAGGCGGCGCCGUAAGUCAGGGGUGAAAUCCCGGAGCUCAACUCCGGAACUGCCCUUGAAACUGCAGUGCUAGAAUUCUGGAGAGGCGAGUGGAAUUCCGAGUGUAGAGGUGAAAUUCGUAGAUAUUGGGAAGAACACCGGUGGCGAAGGCGGCUCACUGGCUCAUAUCUGACGCUCAGGCGCGACAGCGUGGGGAUCAAACAGG